GAUGAACGCUGGCGGCGUGCCUAAUACAUGCAAGUCGAGCGAACGGACGAGAAGCUUGCUUCUCUGAUGUUAGCGGCGGACGGGUGAGUAACACGUGGAUAACCUACCUAUAAGACUGGGAUAACUUCGGGAAACCGUAGCUAAUACCGGAUAAUAUUUUGAACCGCAUGGUUCAAAAGUGAAAGACGGUCUUGCUGUCACUUAUAGAUGGAUCCGCGCUGCAUUAGCUAGUUGGUAAGGUAACGGCUUACCAAGGCAACGAGGCAUAGCCGACCGGAGAGGGUGAUCGGCCACACUGGAACUGAGACACGGUCCAGACUCCUACGGGAGGCAGCAGUAGGGAAUCUUCCGCAAUGGGCGAAAGCCUGACGGAGCAACGCCGCGUGAGUGAUGAAGGUCUUCGGAUCGUAAAACUCUGUUAUUAGGGAAGAACAUAUGUGUAAGUAACUGUGCACAUCUUGACGGUACCUAAUCAGAAAGCCACGGCUAACUACGUG
This 497-nucleotide ribosomal RNA is filed under the name uncultured bacterium. RNAcentral describes it as "partial 16S ribosomal RNA". It matches the Rfam family "Bacterial small subunit ribosomal RNA", at positions 28 to 507 of the family's 1533-position model. The record is from RNAcentral.